Long non-coding RNA from Ictalurus punctatus (channel catfish), 4777 nucleotides. Lineage: Eukaryota; Metazoa; Chordata; Actinopteri; Siluriformes; Ictaluridae. The record is from Ensembl.
UCCAAUAUUUUUAGAGCUUGUCAGCGUUCUAAUACUUUUAGAGCUAGAGAGCGUUCCAAUACUUUUCAUGCUAGACAGCAUUCCAAUAUUUUUAUAGCUAGACAGUGUUCCAAUACUUUGAGAUGGACAGUGUUCCAAUACUUUUAGAGCCAGACAGUAUUCCAAUAUUUUUUAGAGCUAGACAGUGGUCCAAUACUUUGAGCUAGACAGCGUUCCAAUACUUUUGGAGCUAGACAGAGUUCCAAUAUUUUUAGAGCUAGACAGCAUUCCAAUACUUUUAGAGCUAGACAGCCUUCCAAUAUUUUCAGAGCUAGACAGCCUUCCAAUAUUUUCAGAGCUAGACAGCCUUCCAGUAGUUUUGGAGCUAGACAGAGUUCAAAUACAUUUGGAGCUAGACAGAGUUCCAGUACUUUUGGACCUAGACAGCAUUCCUUUUUUUUGAGCUAGACAGCAUUCCAAUACUUUGAGCUAGAGAGUGUUCCAAUAUUUUUGGAGCUAGACUGCUUUCCAAUACUUUGAGAAUGCUGGGUGCUUGCUAGACUGUUACUACAUAGUUUAGAGGGUGUUCUGGGUUGUUUCUAGGGUGUAGCUAGAGUAUUCUGGGUGGUUGCUAGUGUGCUGCUAGGUGGCCGCUAAUGUGUUCUGAGUGGUUGCUAGGGCAUUGCUAGGCAGUUGCUAGGGUGUUCUGGGUGGUUGCUAGGCAGUUGCUUGGUGGUUGCUAGGGUGUUCUGGGAGGUUACUAGGGUGCUGCUAGGGGUUUGCUUGGGUGCUCUGUGUGGUUGCUAGGGUUUUCUGAGUGGUUGCUAGGUGGUUGCUUGGUGAUUGCUAUAGUGUUCUGGGUGGUUGCUAGGGUGUUGUGGGUGGUUGCCAGGGUGUUGCUAGGGUUUUAUGGGUGGUUGCUUGACUGUUGCUAGGGUGUUGUGGGUGGUUACUUGUCUGUUGCUUGGGUGCUAUGUGUGGUUGCUAGGCUGUUAUGGGUGGUUGCUAGGGUAUUAUGGGUGGUUGCUGGGGUGUUAUAAUUGUUGCUAGGUUGUUGCUACGGUGUUAUGGGUAGUUGUUAGCUGUUUGUUAGGGUAGGGUGGUAGGCAGCAUUUCAAUACUUUCACAGCCGGAAAGCGUUCCAAUACUUUUGGAGCCAGACAGCAUUCCAAUAUUUUUGGAGCUAGACAGCGUUCCAGUACUUUUGGAGCUAAACAACGUUCCAAUACUUUCAGUGGUAGACGGAGUUCCAAUAUUUUUAGAGCUAGACAGAGUUCCAAUAUUUUUAUAGCUAGACAGCGUUCCAAUACUUUUUAGAGCUAGAAAGAGUUACAAUACUUUUUAGAGCUAGACAGUAUUCCAGUACUUUUAGAGCUAGACAACGUUCCAAUACUUUUAGAGCUAGACAGCAUUCCAAUACGUUGAGCUAGACAGUGUUCCAAUACUUUCAAAGCUAGACGGAGUUCCAAUACUUUUGCAGCUAAACAGAGUUCCAAUACUUCUGUAGAUAGAGUUCCAAUAUUUUUAGAGCUAGAGUUCCAAUAUUUUUAGAUCUAGACAGUGUUCCAGUACUUUUGGAGCUAGACAGCAUUCCAAUACUUUUCGAGCUAGACAGCAUUCCAAUAUUUUUAUAGCUAGACAGCAUUCCAAUACUUUGAGCUAGACAGCGUUCCAAUACUUUUAGAGCUAGACAGUGUUCAAUACUUUUAGAGCUAGACAGCGUUCCAAUACUUUUAGAGCUAGACAGCAUUCCAAUACUUUUAGAGCUAGACAGCAUUCCAGUACUUUUAGAGCUAGACAGCAUUCCAGUACUUUUAGAGCUAGGCAGAGUUCCAGCAGUUUUGGAGCUGGACAGUAUUCCAAUAGUUUUUGCUAGACAGUGUUCCAAUACUCGUAGAGCUAGCAAGUGUUCCAAUACUUUUAGCGCUAGACAGUGUUCCAAUACUUUUAGAGCCAGACCGUGUUCCAAUACUUUUGGACAGUGUUCCAAUAUUUUUAGAGUUAGACAGCGUUCCAAUACUUUUAGUGCUAGACAGCAUUCCAAUACUUUUUUAGAGCUAGACAGAGUUACAAUACUUUUUUAGAAUUAGACAGCAUUCCAAUACUUUUAGAGCUAGACAGCGUUCCAAUAUUUUUAGAGCUAGACAGUAUUCCAAUAUUUUUUAAAGCUAGAUAGUGUUCCAAUACAUUUAGAGCUAGACAGCGUUCCAAUACUUUUAGAGCUAGACAGUAUUCCAAUAUUUUUUAGAGCUAGACAGUGUUCCAAUAUUUUUAGAGCUAGACAGUGUUCCAAUAUUUUCAGAGCUAGACAGCCUUCCAGUAGUUUUGGAGCUAGACAGAGUUCAAAUACUUUUGGAGCUAGACAGAGUUCCAAUAUUUUUAGAGCUAGACAGCAUUCCAAUACUUUUAGAGCUAGACAGCCUUCCAAUAUUUUCAGAGCUAGACAGCCUUCCAAUAUUUUCAGAGCUAGACAGCCUUCCAGUAGUUUUGGAGCUAGACAGAGUUCAAAUACAUUUGGAGCUAGACAGAGUUCCAGUACUUUUGGACCUAGACAGCAUUCCUUUUUUUUGAGCUAGACAGCAUUCCAAUACUUUGAGCUAGAGAGUGUUCCAAUAUUUUUGGAGCUAGACUGCUUUCCAAUACUUUGAGAAUGCUGGGUGCUUGCUAGACUGUUACUACAUAGUUUAGAGGGUGUUCUGGGUUGUUUCUAGGGUGUAGCUAGAGUAUUCUGGGUGGUUGCUAGUGUGCUGCUAGGUGGCCGCUAAUGUGUUCUGAGUGGUUGCUAGGGCAUUGCUAGGCAGUUGCUAGGGUGUUCUGGGUGGUUGCUAGGCAGUUGCUUGGUGGUUGCUAGGGUGUUCUGGGAGGUUACUAGGGUGCUGCUAGGGGUUUGCUUGGGUGCUCUGUGUGGUUGCUAGGGUUUUCUGAGUGGUUGCUAGGCGGUUGCUUGGUGAUUGCUAUAGUGUUCUGGGUGGUUGCUAGGGUGUUGUGGGUGGUUGCAAGGGUGUUGCUAGGGUUUUAUGGGUGGUUGCUUGACUGUUGCUAGGGUGUUGUGGGUGGUUACUUGUCUUGCUUGGGUGCUAUGGGUGGUUGUUAGGUUGUUAUGGGUGGUUGCUAGGGUAUUAUGGGUGGUUGCUGGGGUGUUAUAAUUGUUGCUAGGUUGUUGCUACGAUGUUAUGGGUAGUGGUUAGCUGUUUGUUAGGGUAGGGUGGUAUGCAGCAUUUCAAUACUUUCAGAGCCGGAAAGCGUUCCAAUACUUUUGGAGCCAGACAGCAUUCCAAUAUUUUUGGAGCUAGACAGCGUUCCAUUACUUUUGGAGCUAAACAACGUUCCAAUACUUUCAGAGGUAGACGGAGUUCCAAUAUUUUUAGAGCUAGACAGAGUUCCAAUAUUUUUAUAGCUAGACAGCGUUCCAAUAUUUUUUAGUUAGACAGCAUUCCAAUACUUUUUAGAGCUAGAAAGAGUUACAAUACUUUUUAGAGCUAGACAGUAUUCCAGUACUUUUAGAGCUAGACAACGUUCCAAUACUUUUAGAGCUAGACAGCAUUCCAAUAUGUUGAGCUAGACAGUGUUCCAAUACUUUCAAAGCUAGACAGAGUUCCAAUACUUUUGCAGCUAAACAGAGUUCCAGUCCUUCUGUAGAUAGAGUUCCAAUAUUUUUAGAGCUAGAAUUCCAAUAUUUUUAGAUCUAGACAGUGUUCCAGUACUUUUGGAGCUAGACAGCAUUCCAAUACUUUUAGAGCUAGACAGCAUUCCAAUAUUUUUAUAGAUAGACAGCGUGCCAAUACUUUUGGAGCUAGACAGUGUUCCAAUAUUUUUUAGAGUUAGACAGCGUUCCAAUACUUUUAGAGCUAGACAGCAUUCCAAUACUUUUUAGAGCUUGACUGCAUUCCAAUACUUUUCGAGCUAGACAGCAUUCCAAUACUUUUAGAGCUAGACAGCGUUCCAAUAUUUUUAUAGAUAGACAGCGUUCCAAUACUUUUUCGAUCUAGACAGCGUUCCAAUACUUUUAGAGCUAGACAGCAUUCCAGUACUUUUAGAACUAGGCAGAGUUCCAGCAGUUUUGGAGCUGGACAGCAUUCCAAUAGUUUGUGCUAGACAGAGUUCCAAUACUUUUGCAGCUAGACAGAGUUCCAAUAUUUUUAGAGCUAGACAGCAUUUCAACACUUGUAGAGCUAGACAGAGUUCCAAUACUUUUCAGCUAGACAUCAUUCCAAUAUUUUUAGAGCUAGACAGCGUUCCAAUAUUCUUAGAGCUAGAGAGCAUUCCAAUAUUUUUAGAACUAGACAGUUUGAAUACUUGAAUAGCGUUCCAAUACUUGUAGAGCUAGACAGCGUUCCAAUACUUUCAGAGCUAGACAGCGUUCCAAUAUUUUUAGAGCUAGGCAGACUUCCAAUACUUUUGGAGCUAGACAGAGUUCCAAUACUUUUGAAGCUAGACAGAGUUCCAAUAUUUUUAGAGCUAGACAGCCUUCCAGUAGUUUUGGAGCUAGACAGAGUUCGAAUACUUUUGGAGCUAGACAGAGUUCCACUGUUUUUAGAGCUAGACAGAGUUCAAAUUCUUUUGGAGCUAGACAGAGUUCCAACAUUCUUAGAGCUAUACACAGUUCCAAUAUUUUUAGAGCUAGACAGCGUUCCAAUGUUCUUAGAGCUACACAGUGUUCCAAUACUUUUAGAGCUAGACAGCCGUCCAAAUACUUUGAGCUAGACAGCGUUCCAAUACUUUUGGAGACAGCCGUCCAAAUACUUUGAGCUAGACAGCGUUCCAAUACUUUUGGAGCCAGCCAGAGUUCCAAUACUUU